This 253-nucleotide ribosomal RNA is filed under the name uncultured bacterium. Its description in RNAcentral is "partial 16S ribosomal RNA". It matches the Rfam family "Bacterial small subunit ribosomal RNA", at positions 524 to 776 of the family's 1533-position model. The record is from RNAcentral.
UACGUAGGGGGCAAGCGUUGUCCGGAUUCAUUGGGCGUAAAGAGCAUGUAGGCGGCCAGGUAGGUCGGUUGUGAAAACUGGAGGCUCAACCUUCAGAGGUCGACCGAAACCAUCUGGCUAGAGUCCGGGAGAGGAGAGUGGAAUUCCUGGUGUAGCGGUGAAAUGCGCAGAUAUCAGGAAGAACACCCGUGGCGAAAGCGGCUCUCUGGAACGGUACUGACGCUGAGACGCGAAAGCGUGGGGAGCGAACAGG